RNAcentral lists this ribosomal RNA (228 nucleotides) under uncultured bacterium. Its description in RNAcentral is "partial 16S ribosomal RNA". It matches the Rfam family "Bacterial small subunit ribosomal RNA", at positions 568 to 795 of the family's 1533-position model. The record is from RNAcentral.
UUCGUAGGUGGAUAAUUAAGUCAGAGGUGAAAUCCUGCAGCUCAACUGUAGAAUUGCCUUUGAUACUGGUUAUCUUGAGUCAUUAUGAAGUGGUUAGAAUGUGUAGUGUAGCGGUGAAAUGCAUAGAUAUUACACAGAAUACCGAUUGCGAAGGCAGAUCACUAAUAAUGUACUGACACUGAGGGACGAAAGCGUGGGGAGCGAACAGGAUUAGAUACCCUGGUAGUC